RNAcentral lists this ribosomal RNA (440 nucleotides) under uncultured bacterium. RNAcentral's name for it is "bacterial SSU rRNA". It matches the Rfam family "Bacterial small subunit ribosomal RNA", at positions 340 to 773 of the family's 1533-position model. The record is from RNAcentral.
UACGGAAGGCAGCAGUGGGGAAUAUUGCACAAUGGGCGCAAGCCUGAUGCAGCCAUGCCGCGUGUAUGAAGAAGGCCUUCGGGUUGUAAAGUACUUUCAGUCGUGAGGAAGGUGUUAAGGUUAAUAACCUUAGCAAUUGACGUUAGCGACAGAAGAAGCACCGGCUAACUCCGUGCCAGCAGCCGCGGUAAUACGGAGGGUGCGAGCGUUAAUCGGAAUUACUGGGCGUAAAGGGCACGCAGGCGGUUAAUUAAGUUGGAUGUGAAAUCCCCGGGCUUAACCUGGGAAUGGCAUUCAAGACUGGUUAGCUAGAGUCUUGUAGAGGGGGUAGAAUUCCAUGUGUAGCGGUGAAAUGCGUAGAUAUCUGGAGGAAUACCUGUGGCGAAAGCGGCCUCCUAAACGGAUACUGACACUGAGGUGCGAAAGCGUGGGGAGCAAAC